This 84-nucleotide transfer RNA is filed under the name Solirubrobacterales bacterium. RNAcentral's name for it is "tRNA-Leu". It matches the Rfam family "tRNA". From Rfam's summary of the family: Transfer RNA (tRNA) molecules are approximately 80 nucleotides in length. Lineage: Bacteria; Bacillati; Actinomycetota; Thermoleophilia; Solirubrobacterales. The record is from RNAcentral. RNAcentral also lists the same sequence under 4 other names.
GCCGGAGUGGCGGAAUUGGCAUACGCGAUCGACUCAAAAUCGAUUGCCCUUGCGGGCUUGUGGGUUCGAGUCCCACCUCCGGCA